This 77-nucleotide transfer RNA is filed under the name Devosia sp. RNAcentral's name for it is "tRNA-Met". It matches the Rfam family "tRNA". Rfam says of the family: Transfer RNA (tRNA) molecules are approximately 80 nucleotides in length. Their secondary structure includes four short double-helical elements and three loops (D, anti-codon, and T loops). The record is from RNAcentral. Lineage: Bacteria; Pseudomonadati; Pseudomonadota; Alphaproteobacteria; Hyphomicrobiales; Devosiaceae.
GCGGCGGGGUAGCGCAGCCAGGUAGCGCGCGGGGCUCAUAACCCCGAGGUCGCCCGGUUCAAAUCCGGGCCCCCGCA